This 497-nucleotide ribosomal RNA is filed under the name uncultured bacterium. RNAcentral describes it as "partial 16S ribosomal RNA". It matches the Rfam family "Bacterial small subunit ribosomal RNA", at positions 36 to 507 of the family's 1533-position model. The record is from RNAcentral.
UCUUCCCUCUGGCGGCGUGCCUAAUACAUGCAAGUCGAGCGAACAGAUGAGGAGCUUGCUCCUUUGACGUUAGCGGCGGACGGGUGAGUAACACGUGGAUAACCUAUCUAUAAGACUGGAAUAACUUCGGGAAACCGGGGCUAAUACCGGAUAACAUGUUGAACCGCAUGGUUCUAUAGUGAAAGGCGGCUUUGCUGUCACUUAUAGAUGGACCCGCGCCGCAUUAGCUAGUUGGUGAGGUAACGGCUCACCAAGGCAACGAUGCGUAGCCGACCUGAGAGGGUGAUCGGCAACACUGGAACUGAGACACGGUCCAGACUCCUACGGGAGGCAGCAGUAGGGAAUCUUCCGCAAUGGGCGAAAGCCUGACGGAGCAACGCCGCGUGAGUGAUGAAGGUCUUCGGAUCGUAAAACUCUGUUAUUAGGGAAGAACAAAUGCGUAAGUAACUGUGCGCGUCUUGACGGUACCUAAUCAGAAAGCCACGGCUAACUACGUG